Molecule: ribosomal RNA, 350 nt
Filed under: uncultured bacterium
Lineage: Bacteria
Description: partial 16S ribosomal RNA
Rfam family: Bacterial small subunit ribosomal RNA
Source: RNAcentral
CCUACGGGAGGCUGCAGUGAGGAAUAUUUGUCAAUGGCCGAGAGGCUGAACCAGCCAAGUCGCGUGAGGGAAGACGGCCCUACGGGUUGUAAACCUCUUUUGUCGGGGAGCAAAGAGAGUCACGUGUGACUCAUUGAGAGUACCCGAAGAAAAAGCAUCGGCUAACUCCGUGCCAGCAGCCGCGGUAAUACGGAGGAUGCGAGCGUUAUCCGGAUUUAUUGGGUUUAAAGGGUGCGCAGGCGGAGGUGCAAGUCAGCGGUCAAAUUGCGGGGCUCAACCCCGUACUGCCGUUGAAACUGCGUCCCUGGAGUGCAAGAGAGGUGUGGGGAAUGCGUGGGGUAGCGGGGAAA